RNAcentral lists this ribosomal RNA (3088 nucleotides) under Chrysoporthe cubensis. RNAcentral's name for it is "SSU rRNA". The stretch from base 1 to 1756 matches the Rfam family "Bacterial small subunit ribosomal RNA". Lineage: Eukaryota; Fungi; Ascomycota; Sordariomycetes; Diaporthales; Cryphonectriaceae. The record is from RNAcentral.
UGAUAGGUGAGUUUGGUGAUGGCUCUGAUUGAACGCUGUCCAAAUGCUUGACACAUGCUAAUCGUACGUUUAAUUUAUAGCUUUUCGGAUAUUAGUAUCUGAGCUCCAUUAUUUUAGGUAGUGGUGUAAUAUUUUAUCCCCUUUGGUCCCCUCCUAACGGAAGGACCAGAAGGGAACAAUAUAUUGAAGGUUUAUUAAAAGUGGUGUACAGGUGAGUGUAAGAUAUUCGGCCGACCUUGAAGAGAGGGAAAAUAAAUACCUCAUAAAUAAAAUAGUUUUUGACAGCUGUUUUUGGGUAAAGGGUGUAAAGCCGCUUUAAGAGGAAAAGGUAUCUGUCGGGAUAGGUAGUAGUUAAGGUAAUGGCUUAACUAGCCAAUAAUUCUCGGAGUCGAAGCUGAAAUGGUUGAUCGACCACAUUGGGAAUGAAAAAAUCCCAAGGCAUAAUUGUACAGCAGUGAGGAAUUUUGGUCAAUGGCCUAACGGCUGAACUGGCAACUUGGAUGAACGGACCGACUCUUACCCAAAGGUUACAUAAUUAUUCUUUUUUAUGUAACUAGUAGGGUAAGAGUGCAGGAGAUCUUUUUUAGGAGUAAAGUUCUAAAUAUAUGUUUGAUAAUGACAAUAUAUAUAUUAUGUCCUGACCAAUUACGUGCCAGCAGUCGCGGUAAUACGUAUGGGACUAGUGUUAUUCAUCUUAAAUAGGUUUAAAGGGUUCCUAGACGGCUAAUGCCACCUUUAAAAGGUAACUAGUUAGCUAGAGUUUUAUGUGAAGAGGUCGUACUUUUGAGUGGAGAGUUUAAAUUCUUUGAUACCUGGAGGACGGAUAAAGGCGAAGGCAACCUCUUAUGUAAAAACUGACGUUGAGGAACGAAGGCAUUGCGUCACGAAAAGGAUUAGGGACCCUAGUAGUCUUUGCAGAAAAUGAUGAGUGCCAUAGAUUAGGUUAAUUCUUGGUCUAUAAAUGAAAGUGUAAGCAUUCCACCUCAAGAGUAAUGCGGCAACGCAGGAACUGAAAUCACUAGACCGUUUCUGACACCAGCAGUGAAGUAUGUUGUUUAAUUCGAUGACCCACGAAAAAUCUUACCACAAUUUGAAUAGAAUAGAGUAAUAAAAACCCAAGAGUUUACCAAAUAUUAUUUUUUUAGUAAGGAUGAUAUCUAAAGUGUUCGUUCAUAGUUAUUAGAAAGGGAAUAUUUGAUCCUUGGAUGUUUUAGAAAGUUUAUUCAUACAAGUGUUGCACGGCUGUUUCCAGUUAAUGUUGUGAAACUGUGGCAAAAGCCAUGGAAUUAACGUAAACCUGAGCUUUAUUUGUGAAUAUAUUAUUUUGAUAAAGCUACAUCAUCUGCUAUAUUGGAUUUGAUAACAGGGACUAAGACAAGUCAUCAUGGCCUUAAUAUUGUGGGCUAAAGACGUGCCACAUAUUCCUUAACAAAGAGAUGCGAAAUAGCGAUAUUGAGCUAAUCUCAAAAAAGAGGGUAAAAAAUAUAUGGAUUGUAGCCUGAAACUCGGCUGCAUGAAUAAGAAAUUGCUAGUAAUCGUGAAUCACCAUGUCACGGUGAAUAAAACCUUGGAUUGGUACUAACCACUCGUCACAUGCUGAAAGGAGUAUGCGCAAUAAGUUUGCUUUCUUAUUUUAAAUCCAUAGUAAUGAUAGGAUUACAUUUUUUUAAUAGGAUUCUUCGUAUGCGUGACUCUAAUUAGUGUUAAGUCGAAAUAUGGUUCGGGUAGUGGAAGUUGCCCGGGGUUGAUUAACCAUUAACAUAGUAUAAGCUGUAUAUGUCCAGGCUCUUUUACUUAGAGAAGCAUAUACACGUUAUUAAAAUUAUUUAUUAUUUAGCGUAAAAGGCUAUGGUACGGGGUGCUAAGCACCCUAAACUCUUUCUCGGUGGCGAGUUGUGGUAGCUUAAAUACAGUUACAGCUGAGGUGUUCGACUCACCUAAGGAGCUCAAGAAAUGCAAAUUAGGUUAUAAAUAUAAAGAGUAGCUUUAUGUUAAUAUGUGUAUUAUCUUUUAAUCCUUUCCAUGCUUUGCUACAAUGAACCUCUCUCAAGACAGUAGAGGAGUUGUGGAUAACUAUAAAUCAAACUAACUGUAAUAUAUUAUUAUAAUAAAUGACUAUAUUUUCAUAUACUUUUACUGAACUAAGAUUUAUUUUUUUUAGUUUAGCUUCUAGUAAGAUAAGUUUAGUUCGUAAAUAUGUAACAUUUUCGCCAAUAAAUUCAAGAUUCACAGGUGUAAGAACGUAUUUGAAUUUGGAUAAUCCAAAAUCUGUUCUUAAAGAUAAUAAGGGAAAAUCCGGUGUUUAUCGGUUUGUUAAUUUACUAAAUGGUAAGACAUAUAUAGGAAGUUCUACGGAUUUAUCACGUAGAUUAAGAGAUUAUUUUUCAUCCGGUUGAUUAAAAAAGGAGCUCCAAAGAAAUAAGAGUGUAAUAUAUAGAGCUUUGUUGAAAUAUGGAUAUCUUAAUUUUAGGUUAGACAUUUUAGAGUAUUGCGAAAAAUCUGAAUGUAUUAAUCGAGAACAGUAUUAUAUUGAUACAUUAAGCCCUUUUUAUAAUAUUUGUACAAAAGCAGGUUCAUCGUUAGGUCGCUUAACAACUGAUACUACACGUUUUAAAUUAAGAAUGGCUAGAAUGGUUUUAUUACAUAAAAGAAGUAAUAAAAAUUUAAAUCUAGAUGAGUUUAUUGUGGAAUACUUAACUAUGAAGGUUGAUAAGUUAGAGUUAAAAUUGGUCAAAUUACAGAAAGAACUAAAAUCUGUAUUUGAAAAAUCUGUAUUUAAACAAUCAGAUCUUACUCGUUUCAAAAAACUCCAAGCAACUUUAACAGCAGAACCUGUCGCAGUUUUAGACUUAAAUUCAGGAAUAACCAUCAGGUACCCUUCUGCGCGAAAUGCUGCUUUGGCAUUGAAUGCUAGUAAUUCUACUAUUAUGAAUAAAUUAAAAGGUAAGAAUACUAAGCCGUACAAAGGUAGAUACGUAAUCAGUAAAGCAGGUUUUUCAAAUUAAAUAUGAAUUUUAUAUCAAUAAGUUCAAGGUAAAUAAAUGUAGGAUAUUUUGUAGUGGAAGUUGCACGGGAUUGAUUAGCCAUU